Molecule: ribosomal RNA, 468 nt
Filed under: uncultured bacterium
Lineage: Bacteria
Description: partial 16S ribosomal RNA
Rfam family: Bacterial small subunit ribosomal RNA
Source: RNAcentral
GACGAACGCUGGCGGCGUGCUUAACACAUGCAAGUCGAACGGAAAGGCCCUGCUUUUGUGGGGUGCUCGAGUGGCGAGCGGGUGAGUAACACGUGAGUAACCUGCCCUUGACUUUGGGAUAACUUCAGGAAACUGGGGCUAAUAACGGAUAGGAGCUCCUGCUGCAUGGUGGGGGUUGGAAAGUUUCGGCGGUUGGGGAUGGACUCGCGGCUUAUCAGCUUGUUGGUGGGGUAGUGGCUUACCAAGGCUUUGACGGGUAGCCGGCCUGAGAGGGUGACCGGCCACAUUGGGACUGAGAUACGGCCCAGACUCCUACGGGAGGCAGCAGUGGGGAAUAUUGCACAAUGGGCGGAAGCCUGAUGCAGCAACGCCGCGUGCGGGAUGACGGCCUUCGGGUUGUAAACCGCUUUCGCCUGUGACGAAGCGUGAGUGACGGUAAUGGGUAAAGAAGCACCGGCUAACUACGUG